GGGAGGAGGAUUACCUCAGGUACUAAAUUGGUGAGGGAGGAGGAUUACCUCAGGUACUAAAUUGGUGAGGGAGGAGAAUUACCUCAGGUACUAAGUUGGUGAGGGAGGAGGAUUACCUCAGGUACUAAGUUGGUGAGGGAGGAGGAUUACCUCAGGUACUAAGUUGGUGAGGGAGGAGGAUUACCUCAGGUACUAAGUUGGUGAGGGAGGAGGAUUACCUCAGGUACUAAGUUGGUGAGGGAGGAGGAUUACCUCAGGUACUAAGUUGGUGAGGGAGGAGGAUUACCUCAGGUACUAAGUUGGUGAGGGAGGAGGAUUACCUCAGGUACUAAGUUGGUGAGGGAGGAGGAUUACCUCAGGUACUAAGUUGGUGAGGGAGGAGGAUUACCUCAGGUACUAAGUUGGUGAAGCAGGAGGAUUACCUCAGGUACUAAGUUGGUGAGGGAGGAGGAUUACCUCAGGUACUAAAUUGGUGAGGGAGGAGGAUUACCUCAGGUACUAAAUUGGUGAGGGAGGAGGAUUACCUCAGGUACUAAAUUGGUGAGGGAGGAGGAUUACCUCAGGUACUAAAUUGGUGAGGGAGGAGGAUUACCUCAGGUACUAAAUUGGUGAGGGAGGAGGAUUACCUCAGGUACUAAAUUGGUGAGGGAGGAGGAUUACCUCAGGUACUAAAUUGGUGAGGGAGGAGGAUUACCUCAGGUACUAAAUUGGUGAGGGAGGAGGAUUACCUCAGGUACUAAAUUGGUGAGGGAGGAGGAUUACCUCAGGUACUAAGUUGGUGAAGGAGGAGGAUUACCUCAGGUACUAAAUUGGUGAGGGAGGAGGAUUACCUCGGGUACUAAAUUGGUGAGGGAGGAGGAUUACCUCGGGUACUAAAUUGGUGAGGGAGGAGGAUUACCUCGGGUACUAAAUUGGUGAGGGAGGAGGAGGGAGGAUUACCUCGGGUACUAAAUUGGUGAGGGAGGAGGAGGGAGGAUUACCUCGGGUACUAAGUUGGUGAGGGAGGAGGAUUACCUCAGGUACUAAGUUGGUGAGGGAGGAGGAUUACCUCAGGUACUAAAUUGGUGAGGGAGGAGGAUUACCUCAGGUACUAAAUUGGUGAGGGAGGAGGAUUACCUCAGGUACUAAAUUGGUGAGGGAGGAGGAUUACCUCAGGUACUAAAUUGGUGAGGGAGGAGGAUUACCUCAGGUACUAAAUUGGUGAGGGAGGAGGAUUACCUCAGGUACUAAAUUGGUGAGGGAGGAGGAUUACCUCAGGUACUAAAUUGGUGAGGGAGGAGGAUUACCUCAGGUACUAAAUUGGUGAGGGAGGAGGAUUACCUCAGGUACUAAAUUGGUGAGGGAGGAGGAUUACCUCAGGUACUAAAUUGGUGAGGGAGGAGGAUUACCUCAGGUACU
Molecule: long non-coding RNA, 1398 nt
Organism: Oncorhynchus keta (chum salmon)
Lineage: Eukaryota; Metazoa; Chordata; Actinopteri; Salmoniformes; Salmonidae
Exons: 5
Source: RefSeq, a predicted model, not a curated record